Molecule: ribosomal RNA, 746 nt
Filed under: uncultured Parvimonas sp.
Lineage: Bacteria; Bacillati; Bacillota; Tissierellia; Tissierellales; Peptoniphilaceae
Description: bacterial SSU rRNA
Rfam family: Bacterial small subunit ribosomal RNA
Source: RNAcentral
GACGAACGCUGGCGGCGUGCUUAACACAUGCAAGUCGAACGUGAUUUUUGUGGAAAUUCUUUCGGGAAUGGAAAUGAAAUGAAAGUGGCGAACGGGUGAGUAACACGUGAGCAACCUACCUUACACAGGGGGAUAGCCGUUGGAAACGACGAUUAAUACCGCAUGAGACCACAGAAUCGCAUGAUAUAGGGGUCAAAGAUUUAUCGGUGUAAGAAGGGCUCGCGUCUGAUUAGCUAGUUGGAAGGGUAAAGGCCUACUAAGGCGACGAUCAGUAGCCGGUCUGAGAGGAUGAACGGCCACAUUGGAACUGAGACACGGUCCAAACUCCUACGGGAGGCAGCAGUGGGGAAUAUUGCACAAUGGGGGGAACCCUGAUGCAGCGACGCCGCGUGAGCGAAGAAGGUUUUCGAAUCGUAAAGCUCUGUCCUAUGAGAAGAUAAUGACGGUAUCAUAGGAGGAAGCCCCGGCUAAAUACGUGCCAGCAGCCGCGGUAAUACGUAUGGGGCGAGCGUUGUCCGGAAUUAUUGGGCGUAAAGGGUACGUAGGCGGUUUUUUAAGUCAGGUGUGAAAGCGUGAGGCUUAACCUCAUUAAGCACUUGAAACUGGAAGACUUGAGUGAAGGAGAGGAAAGUGGAAUUCCUAGUGUAGCGGUGAAAUGCGUAGAUAUUAGGAGGAAUACCGGUGGCGAAGGCGACUUUCUGGACUUUUACUGACGCUCAGGUACGAAAGCGUGGGGAGCAAACAGG